GGUACUAAGCCUGUGAGUCUUGUAGCAAUACAAGGCAUACGGCUCAGUAACACGUAGUCAAUCUAACCUAUGGACGGGGAUAACCUCGGGAAACUGAGGAUAAACCCCGAUAGAUCAUAAUGCCUGGAACGGUUUAUGGUCCAAAUGAUUCGUCGCCGUAGGAUGGGACUUGCAGGCCUAUCAUCUUGUUGGUGAGGUAAUGGCCCACCAAGGCUAUUACAGGUACGGGCUCUGAGAGGAGAAGCCCGGAGAUGGGUACUGAGACACGGACCCAGGCCCUAUGGGGCGCAGCAGGCGAGAAACCUUUGCAAUGUGCGCAAGCACGACAAGGUUAAUCCGAGUGUUUCCUGCUAAAGGAAUCUUUUGUUAGUUCUAAAACCACUGAUGAAUAAGGGGUGGGCAAGUUCUGGUGUCAACCGCCGCGGUAAAACCAGCACCUCAAGUGGUCAGGAGGAUUAUUGGGCCUAAAGCAUCCGUAGCCUGUUUUGUAGUUUUCGGUAAAUCCAUUACUCAACUAUGGGCCGCCGAAAAUCUGCAGACUAGGAGUGGAGAGGUGACNGUACUCGUAGGAANGGGUAAAUCUUUAUCUUUGAUGACACCUGUGGCAAGGCGGCUCCAAACC
RNAcentral lists this ribosomal RNA (622 nucleotides) under uncultured archaeon. RNAcentral's name for it is "bacterial SSU rRNA". It matches the Rfam family "Archaeal small subunit ribosomal RNA", at positions 40 to 686 of the family's 1478-position model. The record is from RNAcentral.